Non-coding RNA from Acanthosepion pharaonis, 113 nucleotides. NCBI's taxonomy places the organism in Eukaryota, Metazoa, Mollusca, Cephalopoda, Sepiida, Sepiidae. The record is from the annotation of a GenBank genome assembly.
AUGGCCAUUAUCAUGUGGAAACACCGGUUCUCGUACGAUCGCCGAAGUUAAGCAACAUCUAGUCUGUUCAGUAACUAGUUGGGUAAUCACUUGGGCAUGCCAGGUGCUGUAAG